Molecule: long non-coding RNA, 782 nt
Organism: Hemicordylus capensis (graceful crag lizard)
Lineage: Eukaryota; Metazoa; Chordata; Lepidosauria; Squamata; Cordylidae
Exons: 2
Source: RefSeq, a predicted model, not a curated record
GACAAGCUGCCUGCAAAGAGCUCCUUUUCUCCCCGCCAAUCAGCUGAUCGGCGAGUGGGCGGGGCUUCCAGGGAGGUCUCCGUGUAGGCCUCAGUGAAGCCUGAACUGGAGUAGGCUUGCAGGGAGGCCCCAAGGAAGGAAGCAGGCAGAGUGGCCCCCACAGCUCUCUGCAGCAGAUCCUCUGCCCAGCCCAGCAUUUGCCAGGGAGACCUGUGCACAAUGAAUGAAAGCUGUGGAAGUUCCUGCAAGGAAGCUUGCCCUGGUCCUAGGCCAGGCAUCCCCAAACUGUGGCCCUCCAGAUGUUGCUGAACUAGAGCUCCCAGCAUCCCUAGACACAAUUUUUUGUGGCUGGGUAUGCUGGAAGUUGUAGUUCAGCAAUAUCUGGAGGGCCGCAGUUUGGGGAUGACUGUCCUAGGCUCUUUGGCCAAGUACUGGCCCCUCUCCCUAGAAAGAGACACAAGGGGGAGGGUCGGCUUGGCAGAAGGGGCAGCCCCACUUGCGGAGUAGUCUCAGCUGCAAGGCUCCCCUGCUCUCCUACUCAUGUCAUCCUGGAUGCAAGGUGUGUUGUACCUCCGAACCUUCGAACCCUUGAACGUUUGAACCUUUGGAUCUUUGAACCUUCGGAUCUUUGGACCUUCAGACCCUCGAACCUUUAAACCAUUGAACCAUUGAACAUGUGAACAUGUGAACUUUUGAAACUAUAAACUUUCAAACCUUUGAACUUUUGUACCUUUGAACCUUUGAUAUUUUGAACCUUGCAACCUUAAAACCUUUGAACCUUC